CUGUGGAGGAGCAGUUUUGUACUUCUGGAUGUAUAUGUAGAAGAGUAUGGAACACAGUAUAAAAUCUGCAACUAGAAGAUUUAAAGCCCUAUUUGAAGAGCUUUGGAAAUUAGCUACAGAAAAAGAAAGGUGCCUCUUUGGAGCCCAGUCCACAGUGUAAGAAGUCUGCAACAUUGUAGCUGAAAGCCCAGCUGUGCUUGAGAGAGAAGGCCACUACUGUACUGAAAAGGCUAAGAGGAUACUAUACUGAAGCAGUCUCAGGCGUGUUGGGUAACUGGAAACCUCCAAGAAGAGACUAGUUUCAAGAAGCCAUGCAAGGAAUUGUGACUUCAACCAGUGAAGACUUGAAUAU
Molecule: long non-coding RNA, 352 nt
Organism: Mauremys mutica (yellowpond turtle)
Lineage: Eukaryota; Metazoa; Chordata; Testudines; Geoemydidae
Exons: 3
Source: RefSeq, a predicted model, not a curated record